Molecule: ribosomal RNA, 253 nt
Filed under: uncultured bacterium
Lineage: Bacteria
Description: partial 16S ribosomal RNA
Rfam family: Bacterial small subunit ribosomal RNA
Source: RNAcentral
UACGUAGGGGGCGAGCGUUGUCCGGAAUUACUGGGCGUAAAGGGCGCGUAGGCGGUCUAAUAAGUCAGAUGUGAAAUUCUUGGGCUUAACCCAGGAUGUGCAUUUGAAACUGUUGGACUUGAGGGCAGGAGAGGAAAGCGGAAUUCCCAGUGUAGCGGUGAAAUGCGUAGAUAUUGGGAGGAACACCAGUGGCGAAGGCGGCUUUCUGGACUGUACCUGACGCUGAGGCGCGAAAGCCAGGGGAGCGAACGGG